Molecule: ribosomal RNA, 499 nt
Filed under: uncultured Bacillota bacterium
Lineage: Bacteria; Bacillati; Bacillota
Description: bacterial SSU rRNA
Rfam family: Bacterial small subunit ribosomal RNA
Source: RNAcentral
UAGGGAAUCUUCCACAAUGGACGAAAGUCUGAUGGAGCAACGCCGCGUGAGCGAUGAAGGCCUUCGGGUCGUAAAGCUCUGUUGUUAGGGAAGAACAAGUGCGAGAGUAACUGCUCGCGCCUUGACGGUACCUAACCAGAAAGCCACGGCUAACUACGUGCCAGCAGCCGCGGUAAUACGUAGGUGGCAAGCGUUGUCCGGAAUUAUUGGGCGUAAAGCGCGCGCAGGCGGUUUCUUAAGUCUGAUGUGAAAGCCCACGGCUCAACCGUGGAGGGUCAUUGGAAACUGGGGAACUUGAGUGCAGAAGAGGAAAGUGGAAUUCCACGUGUAGCGGUGAAAUGCGUAGAGAUGUGGAGGAACACCAGUGGCGAAGGCGACUUUCUGGUCUGUAACUGACGCUGAGGCGCGAAAGCGUGGGGAGCAAACAGGAUUAGAUACCCUGGUAGUCCACGCCGUAAACGAUGAGUGCUAAGUGUUAGAGGGUUUCCGCCCUUUAGUG